UGAUAAACUGGAGGAAGGUGGGGAUGACGUCAAGUCAUCAUGGCCCUUACGACCAGGGCUACACACGUGCUACAAUGGCGCAUACAAAGAGAAGCGACCUCGCGAGAGCAAGCGGACCUCAUAAAGUGCGUCGUAGUCCGGAUUGGAGUCUGCAACUCGACUCCAUGAAGUCGGAAUCGCUAGUAAUCGUGGAUCAGAAUGCCACGGUGAAUACGUUCCCGGGCCUUGUACACACCGCCCGUCACACCAUGGGAGUGGGUUGCAAAAGAAGUAGGUAGCUUAACCUUCGGGAGGGCGCUUACCACUUUGUGAUUCAUGACUGGGGUGAAGUCGUAACAAGGUAACCGUAGGGGAACCUGCGGUUGGA
This 367-nucleotide ribosomal RNA is filed under the name Escherichia coli. Its description in RNAcentral is "partial 16S ribosomal RNA". It matches the Rfam family "Bacterial small subunit ribosomal RNA", at positions 1156 to 1522 of the family's 1533-position model. Lineage: Bacteria; Pseudomonadati; Pseudomonadota; Gammaproteobacteria; Enterobacterales; Enterobacteriaceae. The record is from RNAcentral. RNAcentral also lists the same sequence under 5 other names.